Non-coding RNA from Podarcis lilfordi (Lilford's wall lizard), 200 nucleotides. The record is from the annotation of a GenBank genome assembly. NCBI's taxonomy places the organism in Eukaryota, Metazoa, Chordata, Lepidosauria, Squamata, Lacertidae.
ACACACACACACACACACACACACGUUUCAGCCUCUCCCGGUUCUCCUCUCCUUCCCGCCACGGAGAGAGGAGGAGGCUAUUUCAGCCACUGGGACCCGCAAACUCACACAGAAAAAUCCUUGUGAGAUAAAAUUGCUCCAUUCGGAGGCGGUGCGGGGCUGGAGUGUGUUUUUGUGUGUGUGUGUGUGUGUGUGUGUGU